GACGAACGCUGGCGGCGUGCUUAACACAUGCAAGUCGAACGGAAAGGCCCUGCUUUUGUGGGGUGCUCGAGUGGCGAACGGGUGAGUAACACGUGAGUAACCUGCCCUUGACUUUGGGAUAACUUCAGGAAACUGGGGCUAAUACCGGAUAGGAGCUCCUGCUGCAUGGUGGGGGUUGGAAAGUUUCGGCGGCUGGGGAUGGACUCGCGGCUUAUCAGCUUGUUGGUGGGGUAGUGGCUUACCAAGGCUUUGACGGGUAGCCGGCCUGAGAGGGUGACCGGCCACAUUGGGACUGAGAGACGGCCCAGACUCCUACGGGAGGCAGCAGUGGGGAAUAUUGCACAAUGGGCGGAAGCCUGAUGCAGCAACGCCGCGUGCGGGAUGACGGCCUUCGGGUUGUAAACCGCUUUCGCCUGUGACGAAGCGUGAGUGACGGUAAUGGGUAAAGAAGCACCGGCUAACUACGUG
RNAcentral lists this ribosomal RNA (468 nucleotides) under uncultured bacterium. RNAcentral's name for it is "partial 16S ribosomal RNA". It matches the Rfam family "Bacterial small subunit ribosomal RNA", at positions 28 to 507 of the family's 1533-position model. The record is from RNAcentral.